Molecule: long non-coding RNA, 825 nt
Filed under: Homo sapiens (human)
Lineage: Eukaryota; Metazoa; Chordata; Mammalia; Primates; Hominidae
Description: HSALNT0399216
Source: RNAcentral
AGUGCUGGGAUUACAGGCAUGAGCCACCACGCCUGGCCAGAGUUGUCUUGAUAGAGGUCUUGUAAUUAUUUGAAUUAGAAAAUUUUCUGUUAAAAUAUGUCCACAAAUUCUUUGGUAACCCUCCCUUCAAGAAGUGAAGCCUAAAUCCCUUCCCUUCCAGUGUGAGCUAGACUUAGUGACUCAGUUCUAUGAGUAAAAGUGGUGGAACUGAUAGUGUGACUUCUGAGACUAGGUCAUAAUAGGCAUUGUGGCUUCCUCCUUGCUCUCCCUCUCAGAUCACUUGCUCUGGGGGAAACCAGCAGCCAUGUUGUGAGGACACCCAAGCAGCUCUAUGGAGAGGCCUACAUGGAGAGUAACCAAGGUCCCCUAUCAAUAGCCAGCAAGGAACAGAAGCCUCCUGCCAACAGUCACGUAGCACGCAUACUUUCCCCAAGAUAGAAGCCCUGGGCCUGGGGGAUUGAGGUGUGGAGAUCUACCUGUCUCACGGCUGCUUGUGACCAUGCAUCUGACUGCCAAUGCUCUGGAGAGCAGAGAGCUCAGUUGAGGUCUGUCAAGAGUCCACUGCAGCUGCUUCACAUUUAAACGGCACGUACAAGAUUAUGAAGCUUUCCUGGCUGCCGAGGAGCUCAGCAGACUUGUUUAAAACUGAGACUGGUGACUGAACGAAAAAAAAUGUGACAGAAACCUGUACUGGGGCCCUUACCUGGGCCAGGCCAGGAUGAGGGAUACAUAGGUCAACAUCCUACGGAGCCUUUCACCAGGAGCUCAGAGCAGAGACCGUCAUUAAGCUUCCAAAGAAAUGAAAUGCCCAAGAAUGCAUCUGGC